RNAcentral lists this transfer RNA (89 nucleotides) under Actinomycetes bacterium. Its description in RNAcentral is "Actinobacteria bacterium tRNA-Leu". It matches the Rfam family "tRNA". From Rfam's summary of the family: Transfer RNA (tRNA) molecules are approximately 80 nucleotides in length. Their secondary structure includes four short double-helical elements and three loops (D, anti-codon, and T loops). Lineage: Bacteria; Bacillati; Actinomycetota; Actinomycetes. The record is from RNAcentral.
GUCGGAGUGGCGGAACUAGGUAGACGCGCUAGGUUGAGGGCCUAGUGGGCGCAUAGCCCGUCGGGGUUCAAAUCCCCGCUCCGACACCA